AGUUAAGUUAAUAAGGGCGUACAGUGGAUGCCUUGGCACUAGAAGGCGAAGAAGGACGCGAUUACCUGCGAAAAGCGACGGGGAGCUGGAUAUGAGCUUUGAUCCGUCGAUGUCCGAAUGGGGGAACCCGAUACGAUUCAUCUCGUAUCAUCAUGUCAGUAAACAAUAAUGACAUUGAAGGCACACCUAGGGAAUUGAAACAUCUUAGUACCUAGAGGAAAAGAAAGAGAAUUCGAUUCCGUAAGUAGCGGCGAGCGAAAGCGGAACAGCCCAAACCAAUCUUAGGAUUGGGGUUACGGACCACAACAUGGGAUUGUUAAGAGAUAGCUGAAUGGCUUGGGAAAGCCAGUCACAGAGGGUGAUAACCCCGUAGGCGAAAUCUCAAAACACCCUAGUGAGUUCCAGAGUACAGCGGGGCACGUGUAAUCCUGCUGGAAGUUACGGAGACCACUCCGAAAGGCUAAAUACUAACUAGUGACCGAUAGUGAACCAGUACCGUGAGGGAAAGGCGAAAAGAACCCCGGGAGGGGAGUGAAAAGAUUCUGAAACUGUAUGCUUACAAGAAGUCAGAGGCCGUUAAAGGCUGAUGGCGUGCCUAUUGAAGAAUGAACCGGCGAGUUAUGAUUACAUGCAAGGUUAAGUCGAAGAGACGGAGCCGUAGCGAAAGCAAGUCUGAACAGGGCGAUAAGUAUGUGGUCAUAGACCCGAAGCCCGACGAUCUAUCCAUGACCAGGUUGAAGGUGGGGUAAAACCCACUGGAGGACCGAACCGACGUUCGUUGAAACGCCCGCGGAUGAGUUGUGGAUAGGGGAGAAAUUCCAAUCGAGUUGGGGGAUAGCUGGUUCUCCCCGAAAUAGCUUUAGGGCUAGCGUUAGAAAAUUGUUUAGUGGAGGUAGAGCACUGAAUGGCUGAUGGCCGCAUGAGCGGUACUGAUUCCAAUCAAACUCCGAAUGCCAUUAAAUCUAUUCUAGCAGUCAGACUGUGGGGGAUAAGCUCCAUGGUCAAAAGGGAAACAGCCCAGACCGUCGAAUAAGGUCCCAAAAUUCAUACUAAGUGUUAAAGGAUGUAGAAACGCUCAAACAACUAGGAUGUUGGCUCAGAAGCAGCCAUCAUUUAAAGAGUGCGUAACAGCUCACUAGUCGAGUAUUUCCGCGCCGACGAUUUACCGGGGCUAAGUAUGAUACCGAAUUCACGGAUUUUAGAGUAAUCUAAAGUGGUAGGGGAGCGUUCCAUGUGGGGCGAAGCGAUACCGUAAGGAGUCGUGGACUGCAUGGAAGUGAGAAUGCCGGUGUAAGUAACGCUUGCGGGUGAGAAUCCCGCACACCAAUUGACUAAGGUUUCCUGGGGAAGGGUCGUCCUCCCAGGGUUAGUCGGGACCUAAGGUCAGGCCGAAAGGCGUAGCCGAUGGACAGCUGGUUGAUAUUCCAGCACCCGUAUAUAUGUGAUGUAGUGACAGAGAAGGCUAAUCGUACCGGUUAAUGGAUUCCGGAUCAAGCGAGGUACCUGCUAGGUAGGCAAAUCCGCCUAGCAUAAGGGGAAAACGUGAUGAGGAGCGAAUGGAGCAAUCCUAGUAGCGAAGUCGAUGAUGCAAGCUCUCAAGAAAAGCUGCUAACUUAAGUAUAUGCGGCCCGUACCGAGAACGGACACACGUGGUCAAGAUGAGUAAUCUGAGGUGAGCGAGUUAACUGUUGUUAAGGAACUCUGCAAAAUUACUUCGUAAGUUCGCAACAAGAAGUGCUCCCAGUGAUGGGAGUCGCAGUGAAGAGGCCCAAGUAACUGUUUACCAAAAACACAGCUCUAUGCUAAGCCGUAAGGCGAUGUAUAUGGGGUGAUGCCUGCCCAGUGCUGGAAGGUUAAAUUGAGAGGUUAGACGCAAGUCGAAGCUUUGAUGUGAAGCCCCAGUGAACGGCGGCCGUAACUAUAACGGUCCUAAGGUAGCGAAAUUCCUUGUCAGGUAAGUUCUGACGUGCACGAAUGGUAUAAUAAUUUGGGCGCUGUCUCGACAGCAGACUCGGUGAAAUCUUAAGACCUGUGAAGAUGCAGGUUACCCGCGACUAGACGGAAAGACCCCAUGGAGCUUUACUGUAACUUAAUAUUGAAUAAUUGUACUUCUUGUACAGGAUAGGUAGGAGACUUUGAAGGAGGAGCGUCAGCUUCUCUGGAGUCGUCGUUGGGAUACUACUCUUGAAAUAUGAUUGUUCUAACUCGCACCCUUACCGGCGUGGAGGACAGUGUUAGGCGGGCAGUUUGACUGGGGCGGUCGCCUCCCAAAAUGUAACGGAGGCGCCCCAAGGUACCCUCAGUAUGGUUGGAAAUCAUACGUCGAGUGCAAUGGCAUAAGGGUGCUUAACUGCGAGACUCACAAGUCGAGCAGAGACGAAAGUCGGGCAUAGUGAUCCGGCGAUUUCAGUGUGGAAUGGUCGUCGCUCAACGGAUAAAAGCUACCCUGGGGAUAACAGGCUGAUCGCGUCCAAGAGUUCACAUCGACGACGCGGUUUGGCACCUCGAUGUCGGCUCAUCACAUCCUGGAGGGGCAGUACCUUCCAAGGGUUUGGCUGUUCGCCAAUUAAAGUGGUACGCGAGCUGGGUUCAAAACGUCGUGAGACAGUUUGGUCCCUAUCUGUCGUGGGCGCAGGAAGUUUGAUGGGAAUCGUCCCUAGUACGAGAGGACCGGGAUGAACAUAGCAACGGUAUAUCGGUUGUCACGCCAGUGGCAUGGCCGGGUAGCUGCCUAUGGAAUAGAUAAACGCUGAAAGCAUCUAAGCGUGAAGCUAACCCAAAGAUGAGACUUCCCAUUCGUAAGAAGUAAGAUCCCUCUAAUGUUAAGAGGUUGAUAGGUCAGAGAUGUAAGUGCUGCGAGGCAUUCAGUCGACUGAUACUAAUAGAUCGAGGACUUAAUUUC
This 2902-nucleotide ribosomal RNA is filed under the name Erysipelotrichaceae bacterium. Its description in RNAcentral is "23S ribosomal RNA". It matches the Rfam family "Bacterial large subunit ribosomal RNA". The record is from RNAcentral. Lineage: Bacteria; Bacillati; Bacillota; Erysipelotrichia; Erysipelotrichales; Erysipelotrichaceae.